RNAcentral lists this unclassified non-coding RNA (371 nucleotides) under Hevea brasiliensis (rubber tree). Lineage: Eukaryota; Viridiplantae; Streptophyta; Magnoliopsida; Malpighiales; Euphorbiaceae. The record is from RNAcentral.
CAAAUUUUAGAAAAUGAAAAAUGAUUUUUUUCUUUUUAAAAGAGAAAGCCUUUUUCUUUAAAAAUGACUAAAAUUUUCUUUUGAAUAAAAAAAUAUUUUAAAUAUUUAUCCGUUAACUCAUUUUUCUGAGUGCCCCAAACAUUAGAAAAUACGGAAAAUAGGAAAAUAUUUUCUGUGCAACAACCAAAGCCCUUAACUGAAAAUAUUCUCAUUGCUUGGUCACUGGAAAUAUAUAUAUAUAUGUAUAGAUGCUCAACUUGUAUAAAGCAUGUUUAUGACACAUUUCUUUUUUUCUUUUUCAUUUUAAUUGCUGAUAUUCAAGUCAUAUGGGAUGAAAAUUAGCUACAAGGUGAUGUUUUUGGUUUUGUAGG